AUAUUGGACAAUGGGGGGAACCCUGAUCCAGCCAUGCCGCGUGUGUGAAGAAGGUCUUCGGAUUGUAAAGCACUUUAAGUUGGGAGGAAGGGUUGUAGGUUAAUACCCUGCAAUUUUGACGUUACCAACAGAAUAAGCACCGGCUAACUUCGUGCCAGCAGCCGCGGUAAUACGAAGGGUGCAAGCGUUAAUCGGAAUUACUGGGGGUAAAGCGCGGUAAGGUGGUUCGUUAAGUUGGAAGUAAAACCCCCGGGUUUAACCGGGGAAUUGCUUUCAAAAUGAACGGGCAGGGGACGGGAAGAGGGAAGUGGAAUUUCUGGGGAGGGGGGGAAAGGGUUAGUAAUAGAAAGGAACACAAGGGGGGAAGGCGACUACCUGGCCUGAUACUGACCCUGAGGUGCAAAAGCGUGGGGGGAAACAGG
This 422-nucleotide ribosomal RNA is filed under the name uncultured bacterium. Its description in RNAcentral is "partial 16S ribosomal RNA". It matches the Rfam family "Bacterial small subunit ribosomal RNA", at positions 361 to 776 of the family's 1533-position model. The record is from RNAcentral.